Xenopus laevis (African clawed frog) is the source of this 437-nucleotide long non-coding RNA. RefSeq lists it as uncharacterized. NCBI's taxonomy places the organism in Eukaryota, Metazoa, Chordata, Amphibia, Anura, Pipidae. The record is from RefSeq and is a predicted model, not a curated record. The transcript is spliced from 3 exons.
UGAACUUUUUAUAAUCACGCACAGAUCACAGCAAUUAUGGCAGAAAUGAAACAAAGAAAAAAAGAAAGUGAGACUAUUAGAAAAGAACUGGAAAAAACCGUUGAAGAGGUUGAAGAACUUACUACUGACUUGGAGUCCAAAAUCCAUAAAUUAAGAAAUCUUCACAAUAUAAAGUCUGAGAAGUGGAAACAUACUACAGAAAAAGCAGGAUUCUGAAUAGAAGUUCAAUAUAGCAAGUCAGCAUCUAGGAACCAAAAGGGACACCUUGAAACAACAAUCAAGUGAUACACAGGACCAGCUUUCCCGGGUUUUUGAGCAAAUUAAAAAUGCCAUGGAAAACAUAGAUAAAUUGCUUUCAGGAGCAGAAGAUUUAAUAAAGUAUGGAAUUGUAAUUGAAAAUGCAAAGAGAUCAACUAGAGCAUCAGUCACAAAGUUAC